GACGAACGCUGGCGGCGUGCUUAACGCAUGCAAGUCGAACGGAAAGGCCCUGCUUUUGUGGGGUGCUCGAGUGGCGAACGGGUGAGUAACACGUGAGUAACCUGCCCUUGACUUUGGGAUAACUUCAGGAAACUGGGGCUAAUACCGGAUAGGAGCUCCUGCUGCAUGGUGGGGGUUGGAAAGUUUCGGCGGUUGGGGAUGGACUCGCGGCUUAUCAGCUUGUUGGUGGGGUAGUGGCCUACCAAGGCUUUGACGGGUAGCCGGCCUGAGAGGGUGACCGGCCACAUUGGGACUGAGAUACGGCCCAGACUCCUACGGGAGGCAGCAGUGGGGAAUAUUGCACAAUGGGCGGAAGCCUGAUGCAGCAACGCCGCGUGCGGGAUGACGGCCUUCGGGUUGUAAACCGCUUUCGCCUGUGACGAAGCGUGAGUGACGGUAAUGGGUAAAGAAGCACCGGCUAACUACGUG
This 468-nucleotide ribosomal RNA is filed under the name uncultured bacterium. RNAcentral describes it as "partial 16S ribosomal RNA". It matches the Rfam family "Bacterial small subunit ribosomal RNA", at positions 28 to 507 of the family's 1533-position model. The record is from RNAcentral.